RNAcentral lists this ribosomal RNA (690 nucleotides) under Alteromonas macleodii. RNAcentral's name for it is "bacterial SSU rRNA". It matches the Rfam family "Bacterial small subunit ribosomal RNA", at positions 207 to 885 of the family's 1533-position model. The record is from RNAcentral. Lineage: Bacteria; Pseudomonadati; Pseudomonadota; Gammaproteobacteria; Alteromonadales; Alteromonadaceae.
GGGCUUCAGCUCCGGCGCAAAGAGAGGCCCAAGUGAGAUUAGCUAGUUGGUAAGGUAACGGCUUACCAAGGCGACGAUCUCUAGCUGUUCUGAGAGGAAGAUCAGCCACACUGGGACUGAGACACGGCCCAGACUCCUACGGGAGGCAGCAGUGGGGAAUAUUGCACAAUGGGGGAAACCCUGAUGCAGCCAUGCCGCGUGUGUGAAGAAGGCCUUCGGGUUGUAAAGCACUUUCAGUUGUGAGGAAAAGUUAGUAGUUAAUACCUGCUAGCCGUGACGUUAACAACAGAAGAAGCACCGGCUAACUCCGUGCCAGCAGCCGCGGUAAUACGGAGGGUGCGAGCGUUAAUCGGAAUUACUGGGCGUAAAGCGCACGCAGGCGGUUUGUUAAGCUAGAUGUGAAAGCCCCGGGCUCAACCUGGGAUGGUCAUUUAGAACUGGCAGACUAGAGUCUUGGAGAGGGGAGUGGAAUUCCAGGUGUAGCGGUGAAAUGCGUAGAUAUCUGGAGGAACAUCAGUGGCGAAGGCGACUCCCUGGCCAAAGACUGACGCUCAUGUGCGAAAGUGUGGGUAGCGAACAGGAUUAGAUACCCUGGUAGUCCACACCGUAAACGCUGUCUACUAGCUGUGUGUGUCUUUAAGACGUGCGUAGCGAAGCUAACGCGCUAAGUAGACCGCCUGGGGAGUACGG